CCGCUGGACAGACGCAGGCUUUUGCUUGCCUCUAUGAAUCGGUGUCUGGUUUAUGGGGAAAUAUUGUCUCGACAUUGACUACAACUACGAUUCAUGAGAUUAGACACAGCGUCCUCAUUGGGAAUGCACUUUACUGUUUGUUCGGUGGAGGUGACAUCCUUGCAUAUGAUAUUAAUGGACAAAUCCUCAGUCACAUUGAGAAGCCAACUGAGGCCUAUCAUACUGGCUUGGGCUUUCAGCUUUGGCGGACAAAUGAUGUUUGUGGCCUUGGCCUCGCUGUUAUGUCAAAACUGGGCAUACAUUUAUGGGAGUGCAAAAUGUACUCUGAAGGUGUUUUCAGAUGGGUGCUGCUGCCGAAAAUCAUUCAACUUGACGAGCUCUUUCCACAGAGUAUCGGUAGCGACCACAAAAAGGUCUACAUGGUGGGCUAUGAUGAAGAGUCAAAUGUUAUUUUUCUGGCUACGUAUAUUGGUGACUUCAUGCUCCAACUUCAGUCUAUGCGGUUUAGAAGAAUUUCCGAAAGAAAUUGCUGGGAUAACAAGAUGUAUUAUCCCUAUAGAAAUUUCUAUACUGCAGUGAAACCAUCUGCUAUGUGAAAUAGUUACGCAGUUGUCAGCCUGACAGCAGAAGACGAAAUGAGCACCAGAAGAACACUUUCAGCGAGGAACAAUCUAAGGAGAUCCGGUGGAGCCUGGAGAUUUGGCAAGGGCAGACGUUCUGAAUCACAUGGGCAGUGGCACUGGCAGUGCUAUCAUACUCGUGUGUCAAUUAGGCAGCAUUUUUUCUCUCCAAGUUUCAGUUUUAUUCAUUUUACACUGUCAUGUGACAAGUCAGACAGGGCAGACUUUCUGAAUCACAUGGGCAGUGGCAGUGGCAGUG
Molecule: long non-coding RNA, 879 nt
Organism: Lolium rigidum
Lineage: Eukaryota; Viridiplantae; Streptophyta; Magnoliopsida; Poales; Poaceae
Exons: 2
Source: RefSeq, a predicted model, not a curated record